Molecule: ribosomal RNA, 320 nt
Filed under: uncultured bacterium
Lineage: Bacteria
Description: bacterial SSU rRNA
Rfam family: Bacterial small subunit ribosomal RNA
Source: RNAcentral
UGACGGUACCUGACUAAGAAGCUCCGGCUAAAUACGUGCCGGCAGCCGCGGUAAUACGUAUGGAGCAAGCGUUAUCCGGAUUUACUGGGUGUAAAGGGUGCGUAGGUGGCAGGGCAAGUCAGAUGUGAAAGACCGGGGCUCAACUCCGGGGCUGCAUUUGAAACUGUCUUGCUGGAGUGCAGGAGGGGCAAGCGGAAUUCCUAGUGUAGCGGUGAAAUGCGUAGAUAUUAGGAGGAACACCGGUGGCGAAGGCGGCUUGCUGGACUGAUACUGACACUGAGGCACGAAAGCGUGGGGAGCAAACAGGAUUAGAUACCCUG